Molecule: long non-coding RNA, 8258 nt
Organism: Acinonyx jubatus (cheetah)
Lineage: Eukaryota; Metazoa; Chordata; Mammalia; Carnivora; Felidae
Exons: 3
Source: RefSeq, a predicted model, not a curated record
GUGUGUGUGUGUGUGUGCGCGCGCGCACAAGCAUGUGCAUGGGAGAGGAAGGUAGAAAAAUGGGUGAUUUGUAGGUUUCAAAUUCUCUUCCAUUUUAUGGUGCGGAGUUGCAUGCUAUUUCCAAGACAGACAUCGUAUGAGAAACAGAUUUCAUUAGAGAGUCUGAAAUGACAGGAAUGGUUUAAAUUUAGCACUGGGGAGGGAAUGCUGCCUCGAGGUAAUGUACAUCUAAAAUGAUUCCAAAUGUUUUAUCCGAUGCCAGCUGUGCAGCCUUCUGGAUAAACCAUUUCACGUCAUAUACUUCACAGCAUUUAGGGCAGAUGUAUCACUCAGCCACAAAGAUCCUUAACUGAAAGCAAGUGGCCGCUGUGGCGCUGCCGCCUCAAAAACAGCUGUCCCCUCACUGCCACCCUUCACGUUUUCAGUGCCAGCACCUCAUCCCACCAGCCUCAGUGACUGGGCUCAAUGUGAGGCAGACCAAUAAAUUCUGCCCGCUGAGACUGGGUUUCCCUGGGUACACUAGCCAUUCACUCCUAUUUAUUUUCCUUGGGACCCAGUGAAUCAUCUUUUGUACCGUCUUAUGUGGUGUGACUCAUUUCAGGCUAUUUUCUGCCCAGCCUCAGCCGAGAGGCUCAUUUCUGGAGGGCCCUUUCUCAUCUGUUUAAUGUCAUGAAUCACAACACUGCGCCUCAUAGAAACUCCACUCUCACUUUACCAGAGAUUAGUAUAAACAAUAAGAGUAGCCUAGCAAAGAGGUCGCCUUCGUGUGGGUGAAGCCCAGGCCUCUCCCGGGGUUAUUUUAAGACCACAAUUUGCAUAUUGCUUUACAGCAAUGAUAAUGUUGGCCUUUGCAAUUUUGUUCCCUUUGCUUUUAUCAGGAGGCAUAUAUGUAUCGAAUGCACUGUUGAAACCAAUAUCUGCUUCGUUUUCAGCACAAAAGUGGCUGGUGGUCAUUCCCACUUCCUAGUGGCCUCCCCUCCCGUCCCUUCUUCCAUUUUCCUUUUCUCCAUGUACAUUUUGGAGCAAAAAUAAAAAAAAUUAUUUCUCCUUCCGUGCCCUAAUAUAGGACAAAACAGUUUUUCCAGAGGAAGCGUUACUAGUUUAAUCAGAAAAAUAAGAGUCUGUCCGGUAUACUUAUAACUGAUCAACUUUAUGUUUUAUGGAGAUUGGAGAACUUUUGGUGUGUCUCUUAAUAUUACAGAAGCUAAGAAUAAUCAGUGCUUCCACUUAAGGACGAGGGGGAAGGUGCAGAAUGUCUGGUGUCUGGUUCAGGUGCUCGGGGCGCGCUUGGCCGCCUUUACUCAGUGGAGACUCCUGAUAGCGGGCUGGGUGUGGCCCCGGGGGCAAAUGUUGAAUCUUCUCAGCAGAACAAAGGAAAUCUUUUCCCCAUUGUUUUAUUUAAUUGCUUUCAUUUUUUAGGGCACAUUUUAGACUUAUACAAGGGUAAGACUCAGCUUUUCCAGGAUUAGGAAACAGAUUGUAAAAUAUUUUGCUGGGUCAGGACACAAAAUACCUCACCCUGAGACCAGCGCAGAGUCUUACUCAAGUCUCCAAUGCCUCGAAAGUUUAGGUUCUGAAGGAGAUGUGACAGGAAACGGUUGCAUCCAUGACAGUUAGUUACCUAGUGAGCAAAGAGGUCCUAUGUAAUCUAUGCAGUGUUCCUGAGGAAUGCAGAGUGCUGCUAACGGUGUCCCCACUGAUGGGAGCCACCCCUGGCUGAGAGGCGCGGGGCCGCUCCCACAGCUGCAGCCCAGAGAGCGUAAGGCACGGCAUGCUUCUGCUAUGUGUUUUAAAUUAGCUUAGUCAAGCUAUAAAUAUUUUUGGUAAUUUAUAAAAAAACUGAAAUGUUUCUGUCUAAGCCAGAAGACUGGGUUGUGCAACACAAAUUAACUUCUUAUGGAGGUGGGUCUGGAAAACAGAAGAAGUGUGCUUCUAACCAUGGCUGCUGCAGUGGGGUUGCAGAUAAUUGGUCAAAUUUGCUUUGAGAAUUUCUCUGUUACCUCAGGCAUGAAAUUCGGAUUCCUGCACAUGGGCUCUACUAACCUCCGCUAAAUGCCAACACCAGUCUCAUGUGUAUGUCCCCAUCUCUUGAUGCGUACUUCCUCACGAGCUGCCUCUAAACUGACGGGUUUUACCCCAUUUUCCCUAAUUAGAAUAAUUUCUGUCUUCCUUUCCGCCAUGCCUGGUAUCCCUGUUUCUCCCGUCAAUACCAAGGCAGACCCUCCCAUCCCAAGAACUUUUUCUGAAGAAAUUGAAACAAUUUUUAAUCACUUAUGAUCACCUCUUUGUAUUCCAUAAGCAACACUGGUUAUAUAUACAGCAGACUCUGGCAUUCACUGGAGAUCCAUUCCUUGAAACAGGAAAAUGAUCCAAAUAUCAUACUAUAUUAGAAUGAUGAUAAUGUUUGAGAGGGUGGACACGAGAUGACAGACACACAGCUUUUUUUCUUCUCCUCUCUCUUCCUCUUUUCCUUCCCUCCUUCUUGCUUUAUAACUUGAAAGAGACAAGGAAAUACUAGGUUCAGCUGGAGCUCUUGAGCUGGACACACCUGGAAACUCUGGGCUGAACGGGAUGAUGCUAGCAUUUUUCAGACUUUGGAACCAGUCUGGAUGCCUUAACUGGAGCUCUGGUCAACCAGAAUGUGGCGGGCACCCUGGUAACAUUACCUAUUGUCAUUUCCCAUUUUCCUGGUCAAGGAAACUAAAUGUCAGCAAGGCAGAUAACACCUAAUUAUUACUGUAAUAUACAGAGAGCAGUGCUGGCACUAGGGUGCCUGAGGAAGAUACAAAAAGGAAAGACUUAAAAGAAACUUACAAAGUGCACAAUACUCCAGAUCACCAAAUCUGUAUCAUCUGUUGAGUUGUGUCUUAAGUGAUGAUGGGUACCACCCAGCUACAGUUACACACAAUACUCUUUUGGUCCUAAUGACUGGAAGAGGCACAGAGUAGUGGGAACUGGAUCAUAGAGGUGGGGCUGGACAUGAAGUUCAGAUAUAAUAAGGUGGUGAAAUGCAGAGCUUAGUGAUGGCUGGCAGGGGAAGGGAAGGCCUGGUCUCUGAUGACAUUCAGGCUUUACCCUCAGGAGGGAGACAGGGUGGAUGGGGGUGUCAUCCCAGUGAAAGAGGAAUAGGUCAUUCUAAGUGCAGCAAUGGAACUGGUGAUGUCUGCAAUUCACUUGGACUACUGAAGACACUGCAAAGUCAACAUGGCCAAAUUAGAACUCUUCAUUUUCAAUCCUCAUCCCCAAUCCUAUUUCUUAACCGUUUUUCUAAGUCAGUAGCAUCCAACAUCCAUUCAGUUACUCAAAAGAAAAAACUUCAGAGAACUUCUUGUAUUUUUUUGUUUUUGUUUUUUUGCUGUUACCCCAACUGUCAAUCUACUUCCAAAAUAACCCAAAGACAUUCCUUUCUCUGUAUCUCCACACAAAAUAAAAGAUGAACUCCACUCAUGUUUUAAUGGAAUAAUCACAGUUCUUUUCUCCUUUUAAAACAAAAAUAGGAAACUAACAUCAAAGUGUGGAUUAUGAGGCCUUGGGGCUCCCGGCACAUCACAAUAUCUGGUACCCUCUUCUUUUCCAAUUCCACACCCUUGUACAGUCACCAGUGGCCUAUAUUAUGUACAUGAGAUCUCUCCUUGGCAGAGAAAAAGAAGACAAAAUGAUAUCAUGUAACUUUGGACAGGGUAUAAUUUUUUCCCAUCUAGUGUGGUUUAUGUCUACAUUUUAUGAGCUUCUCUCCUUCUCUCUUUUCCUCUCUCCACUCCCAUUUCCCCUCAGCCCAAAUUCUUCCCAUGAAUCCCUCUUUAGCCAUCAAUAAGGAGACCCUCAAUGUGCAAAUCCUAUGGUACUUCUAUUUGCCAUAGGAGGAUAUCCAUCUGGGGAUAGUUCUGCCAGAAAGACAAGAAAGACUGAAUAAAUCUCCCAACUCAGAAUUCAGCAUAGAGACAACACAAAGGGUCAGAGCCACAUUUUUUUCUUAUUCCUUUCUUGACUAUAAAAUUUUGUUAAGAUUUUGUUUACUUCAAAGUAUCUAUAAACUCUCUGGAUAAGAACUCAAAACACAUUUCAUCUGUUUAGUUGUAAUUUCAAUUCUAACUAAUAUAAAGAUUGUUUUCUAAGGUGAACCUACCUCAAAUACAGUAAGCCACAAUGAUUUCUAGUCAGUCAUGUGAUUAACUUUUCACCAAGUAGAUUAGCAAUCAAGAAGUUUUAAGUAAUAUGACUGUAAAUUACUCCGUUUCUGAACAGUCCAAGAUGUCUCAAGGGAUUUCUGAAUUUAUGUACAUAUUUCUUAAAAGGCAAAUAUGUGAAGUAUUAAAACAUAAUGCAGCUUUACAAAAUUAACCUAGUUUCCAUGUAAAUGCCCAGGAUUCAACUCUUGUUCUUUUUUGUUCUUUUUUUUUUUUAAUUUUUUUUUUAACGUUUAUUUUUGAGACAGGGAGAGACAGAGCAUGAACGGGGGAGGGUCAGAGAGAGAGGGAGACACAGAAUCUGAAACAGGCUCCAGGCUCUGAGCUGUCAGCACAGAGCCCGACACGGGGCUCGAACUCUCGGACUGCGAGAUCAUGACCUGAGCCGAAGUCGGACGCUUAAUCGACUGAGCCACCCAGGCGCCCCUCAACUCUUGUUCUUUAUUCACUCCAUUAAUACAUUCAUACUUCCAUUCUUUCUGAGUUCAAGAUAAUUUGAAGACACUUGUUCUGUAUUUAUUUAAGUCUAAAUUUAAGAACUAUAAUUUCUGAUGUAUACUUUUUGAGAAAAAUUAUAUUUAAAAAAUCUAUUCAUCUCCUUAUAGGCAAUUAUUUCUUGGAGUCACUAUUAAUGCUUAUACACAAAAAGAUUCUAAUUUUAGUUAUAAAAUUUACUCAGCCAAAAAUUCUUUCUAGGGUGCAAAGAAACAGAGAAAGGUUUACAUGAUAGAAGCACAAACCUUCCUAAAUCCAGUCAUUCAUAUCACUUACUAUAGAUAGCAACAAAAACUGGUAAAAUUAAGCUCCAGACCUAUAUCCAAAGGCCAUUUGGUCCAAUCUUACUCUCACAUCUCAAACAAAACAUAACCAAGUAGAAUUAAAUCCUAUUUAUUUCCAAGCCUCUCCAAUUGAUACAUUGUUAUAAAAAUCAAGGCACAAGAAUAGAGAAUCAGCAGCCCCUUCAGGAUAGAGGUUUCAAAUAUGUAGAAUAUGAAAAUUUUGUACAGGAAAGUUGCAAGGCUAUACAAAGAAUUAAGAAUAAGGGACAUGUAUCUUAAUGUAAUUGGCCUAAGUUCAAUAUAGAUGGAGAAGAAAUGGAUUAAUUAGCUUAUAGAGGCCUUUUGCAUACCUCUCUCAAAUUGUAACUGAUUCAGGAAAUUUGGAUUUAAGCCAUCCUGUACAUGGCAUUACCCUAUGGAAAAGAAUCAGAUCUGAAGUAGGUCUGUGAAAAAUUUGGGCAAAUGCAGGGUUUCAUUUUGGGAGAAUCUUUUUUUUUUUUUUUUUUUUUUUUUUGAGACAGAGAGAGAGAGAGAGAGAGAGAGCAAGCGAGCAUGAGCAUGAAUGGAAGCAGGGAGGGAAAGGUAGAAGGAGAGUGGGGCUUGAUCCCAUGACUGUGAGAUCAUGACCUGAGUCAAAAUCAAGAGUCAGAUGCUUAACCGACAGAGCCACCCAGGCACCUCACAUUUUGGGGGAUCUUUUAAGAAAUAAUGUUUCUUCUCUUUCUGAGAGCACUGAGAAACCUACUAUGAAACAAUCCUGUUUCUCAUUUUGGAUAGCAUGAUUUGUGGAUGUAAAGUCUGGAACUGCCAUAGCUAUUUUGUCAACAUAAGGGACACACUGGCUUGAGGAUAAAGCUAAUAACAUGGAAGGCAGGACAGAGAAUUAGAAAGAAACUGGUUCGCUGAUGACAUCAUUGAACCAUGAAGCCUACCUUGCCUCUGGACUUUUCAGUCAUGUCAGCCAAUGAGCCCCUCCACCCUUUAUUACUUAAGACAGUUUGAUUUUUGGUUAUUUGCAGUUUGAGUCCUAACUGGUGACUCCUGAGUCAUUAGCAGAUAACUAGUAUGUAAGCCCAGGUAGAAACUGUAGAGAGAAAAGACUGAAUCCUGGGGCAUUCAAACCUUAGAUAUUGGGCCAGGAAGAGGAACAUAAAAGAGAGAGGAGAAACUGACAGAAGCUUGAAAACCACGAGCUUGUCCAUGUUUGGGUGGAACCAUUCAGAGAAGAAUACAUAGAGGCUGCAGGAAAGAAGAAAAAUGGCAAAAGCAAUUCCUUGUACAGGUGAAGGCGCUGGGUGCCAGAGAGUGAGGGGAGAUGCUUCACAGGGGCAGCAACAUUCCUUUUCUUGUCAAAGGGGAGAGCACCGUACAUAAGCACGGAUAAAAGCAGAUGUGUGGAUUUGUGAUCAGAAGAUGGAGAAGCCCCUGUUCGAUUUUCUGAGCUGAGUAUAAGUGAGCCUCAGAGCAUCAUCUGUCAGGACACAGGGAAAGAGUGUGGCCAAACAUGUGGUCAUUACUUCUCAGCAGGCAGAAAUUUUUUUUAGGCUCUUGGAAAAGGACCUUUUAUAGUCUGGAAGUCGCAAAAACUCUUCAUAGUGAAUUUUUUAUCUGUUAAGUUAAAGGGAUGCUUUAUAACUGUUUUGUAAAUUUGUUGUGCAUAAAUGGGGUUAGAGGUGAUGAUGGAGGUAGGCAUUUCUUUUACUAUCAGUUUAAGGUUUAGGCAACUAUAUUCAGAUUCUCUUAAAGCUGGUUUUAUAAAAAGGAAAUUUAAAACUUCCCAUUCAAAAUAUUUACAAGCCAAUGACAUAUAUACUAUUUCCUCUCCAACAUGGAGUACCUAUUUGCUAUAGUCACAUUAGCUCGUAUUUGUGGUCUUUGUUGACACAGCCCUGGUCUUUUCUUGUUUCUUUAAAUUUCCUCUAGUUCUCUGGUGUUUUGAAAAGUUUGAAAUGAAAUUUAUAACACUUAUCCAAAGCUAUAACUAAAAUGCAUAUUCUUAAUAGCCUAGAUGAAGAAGAAAGUAUCAUAUUCCAUUUUUCUGGUCAGUUUUAUAAUAAGAUCAAUUUGAAACACUGAUGUUUCAAGGUGAUUAGCUAUGAUUUCUAGUUAUAAGUUAGUGAGAGGUUCUUACUACAUCUUUAUUAUAGGUUUUAGCUAACAAAAUAAUGUAAGCUAAUUCGACUAUUAUAAAGACCAUGUAGAGGAGGAAAGAGCAUGGCUUAUUGUUUUGUGAACACUCUGCUGCUGGGUUUGUCUUCUUUUAGGCAGUGUAACACGACUUGUUUUGCAUAAAGCCACUUAAGGGACUUGAAAUACAACAUCUUUUGUAUGUAGCCUCUCUAGCUGCAUUAUUUCCGAAGAGCCAGCACAUCAAUCACAUCCACCUCCAGAUUUCUACUUCUGAUGACACAUGGCUGAGAACAAGGACGAGUUUCAUUCAGGCAAAGUCAAAUCCAGGCUCCCCGAAACCCAGAGUGAUUUUCAAGUCCUGUGUUCCUAAUGUGGAGUUUUCAAACCAUAUUCCACACAGAACCAGUAUUACCACAUGUUCCCUGUAGGGGGAUUAUAUAUCUUCUUCCUGCUGAUAUCACGUGACUUGCUUCAGCCAAUGAAAUGGCACAGGAGUGCCGUGUGCCACUCACAGAAAAAGCCCAAGACCUUCAUGAGGUUCUGCAGUUUUCCUUUUAUCUCCUCCAUGAGACCUACAAUAGCCCGAGUGGGAGUUGCUCUUUUAGCCUUGAUCCAAGAGUAAAGAUGUUGAAAAGAGCUACAGCCACCAAGCAGCUGUCAUGUAAAGUGAGUAAGAAAUAAAGCACGCUGUUGCAAACCACUGAAUUUUGUUACUGCAGCAUUCCAACCCAUCCCUCCUGAUGCAUUCCCAGCAUCAAAAGGGUUAUUGAAGAAAUUCUGGAAAUGAUGCAUAUGCUAUCCCACUCAAAAUAAUGCACAUUGGCAUUUUAAAGGAUGUUAAAAAAAAAUCCUUCAGGAAAUAAACCGGUUUACUACUGUGGUCUAGCAUUUUCCCAAUUAUCUUGAUUAAAGAAUAUUAUUUUUUAAUGUUUAUUUAUUGAUUUUGAGAGAGAGAGAGAGCAUGCGCACAUGUGUGAGCAGAGGAGGGGGAGGAAGAGGAGGAGAGAGAAAAAAAUCCCAAGCAGGCUCUGCAAUGUCAGCACAGAGAUGGAUAAAGGACUUGAUCUCAUGAGCCAUGAGAUCCUGACCUCAUCCAAAAGCAAGAGACAAAUGCUUAACCAAUGAGCCACCCAGGCACCCCAAGAAUUAUUUUUUAUAUAAU